UGUUUUAGUGCUAUUUCUUGUGGUUGUGAGUCAUGUAAAUGACGUUAUGUUACACACCUUUAUAUUACUUCAGUAUGUAAACUAGAAAAACGUGGAGUUACUGUGUUUGUUGCCAAAUCCGAUUUCUUUCUAAACAAUCUAAUUUUGCACUGAGGGGUGCGGGUGUAAAUCUAAAUGUUGUGUCUGCAAUCCCAUGGCCCUUCAAGGUUUUCAAGUCUCAAGAGAGAUUUUAGAAACACCUGAACUUUUCCACACCUGUCCAUUAGCAGGAACUAACUCCCGGUAGAGGACAUCAGAAGAUUCAAGUAGAAUUUCUUGGUUAUCUUAGUUUAGAUUAACGUAUCAUUCUCUGUGUAAAAUGGCUGCCAUAGCUCUGUCAGAAUCAUGCCUUUUAUGUACAAGUACAUCUGGUACACCAGAGAAAACAUGUUGACCUGUUCCAAUACAAUACACUGCCCCUAGUGGACGACUGUGGUAUUUUUUUUGGGGGGGGGGCAGGUUAAUGCUUACACCCAGGUGUGCCUGAUGUACUAAGAGAUUAGCCAACACGAAUGAUACAUUCACAUAACUAUAAUGAUCCACACCCAUUCCAGGUGUAUCUGAAAUGCUCAGCGUGAUAUGUGGGUGGCUAGUCAAAGCUCUGAACAGCAGCAUUGAUACACUGUGAAUUUUAAACAGACUACAGGUAAAUAGCACUUGCAAAGCUGUCCAAUUAGUUCACACUUUGACAUGUAUUUUGUGUAUGCAGUUAUGUUUCCAGCAUUUAAUAGCCUAUAUGCUGUGUAUAUUAAGUUAAAAUAUAGGUUAACCCUUUCAGUCCUGAAUUCUUUUUUUGUCGAGCUGAAGAAUGCCAAAUUAAGUUAUAUAAUUUAAAAAAGGCACUCUUAUAUUGAGUAUACAGUACAGGACAAAAAAUGUUACAUAUAUCUAAACCCCACAUAUCAGAAAGUAACUUGUGUAAUUACAGUGGAGGAAUUUUUGGCCUGAAAUGUCAAAGCAUGUUUGCACUCGCUUGUAUAACAAUACAGCUGAUCUCAUGUUUUUCUUAUUUGCUUUUUAGUCGCUUCUCAACGAUUCUUUCCUUCACACAGGCGCUAAGAUAAGACAGGACUCUGAGGUCCCGCCAGGACUGGAAGGGUUAAAGAGAAACCAGACUUGUUAUGGAUUUUAAAAUGUUGAUGAUAAUGUAUUUGCACUUACUCAGGAGAGACAAAGACGAACACAUGCGUCCUCCGAAACGUGUGCCGUCAGCUGUCCGCUUCUUUUCACACUGCAGCCCCGUCAUGCAGCUACCUCAGAGCUGCAAUGUCGGAGGACCACGCAGCUCUGGGCUGCUUGUAGGGAGGCCUGCAGGUACCUGGACAGUCUACAGGGGUUGCUGUUGCGCGGUGAGCUGAGGACACCCUGGCCGACUUAAGCCCUCCCUACCUGAGCGGCACUCGGCCAAUUGUAUGCCGACCCCUGGGAACUCCCAUCCACGGCCGGCAGUGGAAUAUCCUGGACUUGAACCGGUGACCUCCAGGCUAUAGGGCGUAUCCUGCACGCCAUGUGGAGUGCCUUUACCGGAUGCGCCAUUCGGGAGCCCUGUUUUGGUUUGUUUGAUUGAACAUUUUCUUAACUGGAUUGAGAUGAGCUGUGGAUUCCUGGUUCCUGUGUGGCUCUGCUUGUACCAGGGUUUUUCAGAGGGGUCCUGGUUCCUGGUUCCUGUGUGGCUCUGCUUGUACCAGGGUUUUUCAGAGGGGUCCUGGUUCCUGGUUCCUGUGUGGCUCUGCUUGUACCAGGGUUUUUCAGAGGGGUCCUGGUUCCUGUGUGGCUCUGCUUGUACCAGGGUUUUUCAGAGGGGUCCUGGUUCCUGGUUCCUGUGUGGCUCUGCUUGUACCAGGGUUUUUCAGAGAGGUCCUGGUUCCUGGUUCCUGUGUGGCUCUGCUUGUACCAGGGUUUUUCAGAGGGGUCCUGGUUCCUGUGUGGCUCUGCUUGUACCAGGGUUUUUCAGAGGGGUCGGAACUGCCUAACAUCACAGCACAGGGCAGUCAGUAAAGUGCUUUAAAUAUGGCUUUGUAUGAGUUAUAUAUUGUUUAAAAAUUCAGUUUCUGUCAAAAAACAUGAAUGGAUGUUUUUUUUAUAUAUAUUUUUUUAUUUUUAUAAGUAAAUGGCUCCCCUUAUAAAAGUUUCCCAUAGUAAAGUGUAAUAAAGCAUUGUAACAGAGAGGCAUGCUAAAGCAUUUGUUUUUUUAAUUUAUUAUUAUUUAUUUCUUAGCAGACGCCCUUAUCCAGGGCGACUUAAAAUUGUUACAAGAUAUCACAUUAUUAUUUUUUACACAUUAUUUUUACAUACAGUUACCCAUUUAUACAGUUGGGUUUUUACUGGAGCAAUCUGGGUAAAGUACCUUGCUCAAGGGCACAGCAGCAGUGUCCCCAUCUGGGAUUGAACCCACGACCCUCCGGUCAAGAGUCCAGAGACCUAACCACUAAAUGGUAAACUUGGGUAAGCUACGGUAAAUGCAUAAUAUAACCAUGGGAAACGCACAGUAAAUGCGCAAAAAUACCAUGGUGAACUUUUGUAAGGGUCAUUAAGCUCCACAAUAUGGACAUUCAAGAGUUUUUGGCAAAAACAAGUCAUUAGUGCAAAAACAAAUGUUGUGUUGUAACCUGUUUAUUGAACACAGAAACAAUGAAGCUCCACAGUCCAGCUCAACAUGUGCCCCUUGGUUGUUUGUCUUGCGUGGGUCUUUAGGAAGUCCGUGGUCACCGAUAUGACGCCUCCUGCCAGACAGGUUUUCCAGCUCUGGGUAAUGUGAUAACCACAACUACAUUAUGUCGUGUUCUGUUUGGCUUCGAGGGACUGUGUGUGGGAUUGCUGUUGCAUGACACUAGCUUGUUUUUUUUUUUCUCUCUUUUUCUUUUUUUUGACAGAAUAGUGAAUUGUAAACACAUUAGUUCUUCCCUGCCCUGAUUUCAAGAGAGAAGACUCUUUUUUUAUUUUUAAAUAGCAGUACCUGACCUGGGGUCACAGUUAAUUGAUUCAGAGAGCCUUGUCUAGCUUGGGCCUCUUAAAGUCCGGUCUUCGCAUUCCAUCCAGUGUUCCGUGUGGCAGCUCAGCUUAUUAGGAGCGAGAGAGGGGAGGAAGUUUCAGCUCUGAUUAUGCAGAGUUUCCUUUCUUUCCCCCCUCCCACUUUCAUCCCGUCGUUUCCAUGAACUGGAAGACUUUAAAUGUACGCUUGGCCUCCAGGUAGAGUAGGCAUGCUUCUUUGACAUGAGGAUCUUUCUGAAAGCCCGGUGUUUUCAGGAUAACUCUUGCGGUUGUUUAUGCACGGAGCUAAAGGGAGAUUAGUGACCCUGAUCUGAGUUCAGCACACUGGAAGUGCACAGCUGCACAGUGCAGGGGCCGGGGCUGAGACUGACAGGCAUUGAGGCAGCUCUCUCUGGAGGGGCCUCAGCCAGGCAGUCCUCAGUCUCUUGGUGCUUUGGACAGACAGCUGUGACCAAAAACUUAAAAAUGGAACAGAUCACAAAAAAAGGAACCUUGCAAUUCUUUAAGGCACUUACGGUACAUCACUUGGAUUUUCACAUGCGAUCAGAAAGCUUGCCCAACAUGAUGAAUAAUUGCUACUACAUGAAGGACAACACUGAAAAAUUGACUGGAUUCACCUGACCCUUGUAUGUGAAGAAAAUCAGGAGGAGAGUGCUGGAGAAAGUGAGAGAAUACCCCUGAUCCCUCACAUCCCCGAUGAGGUGCAGCAGAGUUUUCUGGGACCGUACAUUUUCAAAGUGAAAAAGGUAAAGAGUGAUAUUCAAAGUUAGCAUUAUUUGUAUAAGACUUCAUUUGGAACGCCUCCCUCAUGAGGCAGUAUAGUUUCUACCCAUACAUACAAGUUAUGGACACACACUUAACUUCAUAACGUAUUGUUCAGGAUUUUACAUUAUGAUCCAGCACUUUGCAAUCACCCUGCAUACUGCAUCCAGAUGUUUUCAAAUCAGCUGCCUAGUACGUGUGCUCAAUGCAUCUUACUUUAACAAGGUCUGUGUCUGUAUACAAGCCAGCAGUAAUGUUAGCCCUGGAUGGAAAGCUUCUCACUAUAAUCUCUAUGCAUGUGCUGUACUCUGUGCUGUAUCUUUUGUACAGCUUUAUUAUUUUUAGCCCCCAUGUACCGUUGUUAAAUAUUCUUUUGCCUUCUUCCUUACAAUAAAGACACGCUGCGAUGCAGGAGACACGUUUCUUUCUCUUUCUUUCUUGAGCCCCGACUUGUUUGUUUCUGAUUUGGUCACUUUGUUGGGUGUGUUUUUGCUUUCUGAAAAAUAAAAAAAAGCGUGCUAAUGAAGAUUUGGAUGAAAUUGCUUUGAGAAUCUAGCCCUUAUGGCUGGGCUUUUAGUAGAACAACAGCUCCUGUCUGUCUUUUACAAUGUACAGUAGAACAGCUCCUGUCUGUCUUUUACAAUGUACAGUAGAAUAGCUCCUGUCUGUCUUUUACAAUGUACAGUAGAACAGCUCCUGUCUGUGUUUCUUAAACUGCAUCGUUUUCUUUCUUGUGUAUUAUUCUCUGGCCCUCCACUUCCAAAGCCCCUACAUUUCUUUUUUGCAAAUCCAAACCCUAACCCUAAACCAAACCCUUUUCUUUUUCUUUUUAAAAACAAAAGGAAAUCUUUUUUUAAAUAGACUGAACUAUAUUAACUCCAAUGCAAUGCAACACACUUCAUGAUUUGUAAAACGGAUACGUACCAGUUAAGAGAUAUGGGGCCGGGUUUUUUCCUCUUGUGAGAUGUAAAUCUAAUGACUUGGCUUUGCUUCAUUUGUGAGUAAUACAGUGUUUGGUAAUACAGUGUUUAGUAAUACAGUGUUUAGUAAUACAGUGUUUAGUAAAUGUAUUGUCCAGUUUUACAGCUUUCCUACCUCGCAAGACACUGAAACAGCCAGCUGACAUGCAGGGACCCACCCACAGGAAGUGACAUUGGCUAAAAGAAAACAUUAAGAACCAUAAAACACAAGGCUGUGCCGCGGCUUUCAAACUGGCGUCCAUGGAAUCUACUCCAGCCAUUCCCACCUGCAGAGAGGACCCAGCCCUGUUUGUAUUUUUUUUAUAAAUGUUUACCACAGUAAAAACACAGCAAAGUGUAAUAAAGCAUUGUGCAAGCAUGGUAACGCGUAGGGUAAGUAUAGUAAAGAAUAGCGAGGUAUGGUAAAGCACAUUAAGAGACAUGGCAAACCAGGGUAGUCUAUGGUAACUGCAGAGUAUAAGAAUGGGGAAAAGCAUGGGAAAACUGCAAGCAUACAGCACACAAAAGACAGAACUCCCACAGCGACCCUCUCCUGAGUGGAGGAGACACACAUGGAGCCCAGUGCAGCGUUCUCUGCUCUGCAGCAUUCCAAUCUCUGUGAUUGGCUUUCAGCCUUGCUGGGACUGUUUCAGCUGUCUGGAUGGGUUUCAUUGCUGUCCAUGUAUACUGCUGCCCUGUAUGUGUAUUGUUAUUCCAGUUUCAUGUUUGUACACGUGUGAAAUGUGUGUCACGUGACUAGAACUGAUAGGGAAGAAAGCAGUGUUGGUGUUAAAGAAGUCGAAACCUAUUUUCCAUUGCUGCAUGAUUACACGUAUAUAUAUACACACACACACACACACACACUGUGUAUAUAAUCUGCAACGCUUACAUAAAAUGUAUAGAGCAAACCCACAGAUAAUUGCAUACUGUGGACUAUUCUUAAAAUGCACAGGAGGAUCAAAUGAAGACCAGAUGAAGAGAGCAUGUCCAAGGUAAGAAAGAAAAGCUGUCAGUUUCUCUAGUUGGAGACGCAUGUACAGUGUUGUUUGUUCCCCUGUUUUCUGUUGUCAGGGGAGAGCGAGCCUCUCUUCCAGUGGGAGAGGAAUUCAGCUGCUGCAGAUAUAAUCCAUCUCCCUGUCACACGCACAGCGUUAUUGGGAGACCACCAGACACAGUCUGAUUGCUGCAGAUUGUACCAGAAUACUAAUACGCUCCCGCUGGCUUCCUCCUGAACGCUAACAAAAAAACAUUACCAGAAACAAGCUGCUUUUUGUAGACUUGGAAAUCAAAACACAGAUGUGGAGGAGAAGAGGAUUUAGGAUUGCAGACCAUUUGAAAUGAAACAUCAAUGCCACUCCCCUCAUGUGUCAGAGUAAACAAAGCUCCCUUCAUUUCAGUAUAUAACACAUUGCAGUGCAGUCUGGGGUCUGUAUGGACGGGACAAGGGGACGAUCACCUAACCCUAACCCCCCCCCCCGUGUGUCAGAGUAAACAAAGCACAUUGCAGUGCAGUCUGGGAUUAUGAUAUUCCAAUAACAAUAACACAGACUGUACAGCUCAUAACCUGUUCAUGAUAUUCUAAUAAUAAUAAACUGUACAGCUCAUAACCUGUU
Long non-coding RNA from Acipenser ruthenus (sterlet), 6364 nucleotides. RefSeq lists it as uncharacterized. The transcript is spliced from 5 exons. The record is from RefSeq and is a predicted model, not a curated record. NCBI's taxonomy places the organism in Eukaryota, Metazoa, Chordata, Actinopteri, Acipenseriformes, Acipenseridae.